GAGUUCCGCUGCUUGCGCAGAUACAGUUGUUUGUCUCUAGACUACGCUGCGCUUCUCCGACUUUGGUAUGCGUGGGGGUCCGGAAGGCACAGGCUAAGUGAAAACAGUCACUUAAUGGGAGCAGCAGCGAGAGUCCACAGAACGCUAGACUACGGUGCAGGGGUCAGAUGGUUCUGACGUAGGUGUCAGGACGGCAGCACGGCCUUGAACUUGGGUCUGGCCAACUUCAGAGCUGGCGUUUUGGCCAGAGACCUGCUGCACCUAUCUACGCGAGUUUAUCUUAUUUUUAAAAGACAGGGUCUCUGUGUAGCCCUGGCUAUCCUGUAACUCACUAUGUGGAACAGGCUGCCCUCGAAUUCACAGAAACCCUGUGUCUUUAGUGCUGGGAUUAAAGUCGUCUGUCACUACACCUGGCUCUAAUGUGUGUGUAUGUGGUACUGGGGAUAUAACCCUAGGUUUCACAUAUGCCGGGCAGUCAGUGUACUAAGUAGCUUUAUUACCAGCACUUAACAAGUUCCAAGUUAACAUUUUCAAGCUGUGUAAAGUGCAAAAGUGUGUCAUCUUGUCUCCCAGUCCCAUCUGGGGUGCGUUUAAAAAUAAAAUCUUGUCGAGGGUGAAGGCACAGAUCUGAAAUUCUAGCACUUAAGAGAUGGAUGGAUGACCAAGGCAGGAUAGGAUGACUAAGGGCGAUAAUCUUUAACACUCCGAUUCCGGCAGGAUCAUUAGGAGUUUUACGCCAGUUUCAGCUGUGUGAGACCCUGCCCUAAAGUUACAAAUUCUUUGGUAGUUCUACCCCUCCUGCUUCUAACUGCAAAUAGGUGUCGUUGGGGUUCAGCUGGUUUGGGAUUGCUGUAGUGUCCUGUUUAGGUGGCACGAGGCCGGGCUGCUUCUGCCUUCUCUAACAACUGCAUCUACCAGGUGCAUCCUUCACAUUUUGGGGGACACAAAAUUUUCAAUAAAGGUGGACAAGAUGUGUU
RNAcentral lists this long non-coding RNA (977 nucleotides) under Mus musculus (house mouse). RNAcentral describes it as "long non-coding RNA chr2:164880033-164881010". Lineage: Eukaryota; Metazoa; Chordata; Mammalia; Rodentia; Muridae. The record is from RNAcentral.